GGACUAUUCCCAUUUUACAGAUGAGAAAACUGAGGCUCAGAGCUUUAAGUCACCAGUCUGCUCCUUCUUACAUUCUGGUUUUUAGAAAAUGGUGCCACCACAUAUGCAGACACACAAGCCAAAGUCCUAUGAGUGAGCUCUGGUUUAUCCCUUUCUCUCUCACUUCUCAUAUCCAACUUACCAUUCAGGCCUGCUGAUUUUAGUUCUUAAAUAUCCCUUAGCUUCUGUUGUUUCUUUCCAUUGAAAUUCUCAUUGCAGCCCUUCUGUGGAUUACCUCCUGGCCUUCCACCUGUGUGUCUGUGUCCAUGUUGUCUCCAGUCUGUCCUCCACGUAAGUCAGACCAUGCCCCAUACCUCCCAGUCCUCCUUAGAAUGAGGAAAAGCCUCCUCACCAUGGCCACAGGCUCCUUUCCAUUUCUCUGACCUCACGGCAUGCCCCUCCUCUCUGCUCUGCACUGCAAAGACUCCACGUGUUUUACUAGCCAAGGUCAAGGUCCCCUUGCAUCACAUAUUUGCCUGGGAUGCCAGAUUCUUUUUACUUUGCCCACUUACUGCCCACUCAUUCUUCUGAUUUCAGUCCCUCCCUAGGGGAAACCUUUCCUGACCUUUGUAACUAAAGCAAAGACUUCUCUUGGGUGCUCUCAUUGUUCCAGGGACCUGCCUGCACAGCACUUGUACCAGUUAAUCCUUCACAUUAACUUGAGUGACAGAUAUGUUAGUGUCUGCUGCUUCCUCCCAGGAAUGAAGCCAGAAAAAGCUGGAGUGCAACACUGCAAUCUCGGCUUAUUGCAACAACUGCCUAGUGGGUUCCAGUGAUCGUCCUUCCGAUGUCUCCAAUGUAACUACGGUUGAAUGUGUCAACACCACCAGGCUGGAGUGCAAGAGUGCGAUCUUGACUUACUGCAACAACAGCCUCCUGUGUUCCAGCAAUCAUCCAGCCGAUGCCUCCGAAGUAACUGGGGUUGCAGGUGUCCACAUCACCACAUCCAGCUAACUUUCAAUUUUUUUUUUUUUUGGUACCUCAAAUCUAUCUGUAUUUGAUUUCUACAAAAGAGCUGCAUGGGCAAAAAAAAAAAAAAAAUACAAAACGACACAAACAUUUGCGUGUCAGUCUUGCACUGUGUCCAUGCCGGCUUUUUGUGUAGCAUCCCAAUUUUAGUGUAGGUGCUGCCAAAUCGAGCACAUGCAAUGCCUGUCUUAGCAUUUUUAUGGUUAUUUGGUUAUAUGUUUUUCAUAGGGAGAGGGUUGCGCUGUGUCGUUCGACGCAAUUCUCAAAAUUGUGACCUAACAAUCCGCCCACCUCGGCAUUCCAAAGUUCUCAGAUUACAGGCGUGAGUGGCCGAGCCAAGCCCCAGUUGUGUUUUCGUUUUAAAGACAGGGAUUUGUUAUGUUGGUCAUGCCAGUAUCCAACCCGCAACCUCACGAGAUCCACAUCCCUCAGUUUUGAAGCACCUAGAUGACAGGUUCUCAUGAUGCAUUGUUCUUGGCCACCGAAUUUUAUUGUUAGUAAAGAAAUAAGGGAGACUGUGCCAGGCGCUUUGACUCACGCCAGCAAUCCCAGCCCUUUAAUAGACUGAGGUGGGCAGGUCACCUGCAGUCUCGAGUUCCGGGUCAGCCUGGGCAUCCAGGUGAAAGCCCAUUCCACUUAAAAAAAGAAGAAGAAAUAGUAAACAAGAGAAAUCAGACAGAUUAGUGUGCACAAUUGGAACAAAACGAGGUGCUGGGUGACUCCACCCCCCACCCCGCCUUUCUUUUUGACGUACUGCUUUGCUCUUGUUACCCAGGCUGGAGUGCAACACUGGGAUCUUAGCUUAUUGCAAAAACUGCCUAGUGGGUUCCAGUGAUCGUCCUGCCGAUGCCUCACAAGUAACUGGGGUUGAAUGUGUCAACACCACCAGGUCCAGCUAACUUACUGUUUAUUUUUGUGAACCUAAAAUCUAUCUGUAUUUGAUUUGUACAAAACAGCCACAACAGCAAAACUAAAUGAAUAAAUAAAAAACGGAACGCUGGACAGCUUAGCGUGUCAUUCUUGCGCUGAGGCCAGGCCGGCCUUUUAUGUAGCAUCCC
This is a long non-coding RNA of Callithrix jacchus (white-tufted-ear marmoset), 2066 nucleotides long. The record is from Ensembl. NCBI's taxonomy places the organism in Eukaryota, Metazoa, Chordata, Mammalia, Primates, Cebidae.